RNAcentral lists this ribosomal RNA (102 nucleotides) under Acinetobacter baumannii. RNAcentral describes it as "partial 16S ribosomal RNA". It matches the Rfam family "Bacterial small subunit ribosomal RNA", at positions 1 to 101 of the family's 1533-position model. Lineage: Bacteria; Pseudomonadati; Pseudomonadota; Gammaproteobacteria; Moraxellales; Moraxellaceae. The record is from RNAcentral.
UAACUGAAGAGUUUGAUCAUGGCUCAGAUUGAACGCUGGCGGCAGGCUUAACACAUGCAAGUCGAGCGGGGGAAGGUAGCUUGCUACUGGACCUAGCGGCGG